CUGCAGCUUUUUGUAUUGUUUUCUCAAGUGAAAUAAUUAACUUCUUUCUUCAAAAAAUUAUGGCGAAAAUGGACAUCUCCAAGGCCAUGCAAGUCUUGACGAUGGCAGUUUUUGUAGCAAUCUUUUUGCUCAUGUCCUCUAAGAUGGCAACCGCAAUGCUCAGUGAUGCAGGCCCAGAAACUAUACUUGGUUUGUAGAUAUACCUGCGUACCACUUUGGAGCUAGCAUUUUAUUCGUUCGAAACUUCUCUUUUGCUAUGUCCGCAUUUUAUAAAAUCAAAAUUUGUAUGCAUUCCCAUUUAGCAAUUAACACACCUAGAUGGCUUUCUUACAUUUCUAUUAAGAUCACAAUGAAAAUAUUAUAUUGUCAGUUCUAUCCACUUUUAUUGGCCUUCAUUUUCCCAUUUUUUUCUUUUCCAUUUGAGAUCAAUGACCAAAAUAAAUUUGAAAUUUCAUCAAAUUCAUUUGCAGGUCGCAGGGCUCUACUUGCUGACUAUAACACAACUGGUCGCGGAGGAUAUAAUUGAUGAAUUGAGCAAGCUGCAAGCUCAUCAACCAUUUAUGUUGCAUAUGCCUAUGGAAUAAAAAUAAAAUAUAUAUAUAUGUUUGUGUGUUCUAUGCUAAGUUAUUACUUCAUGCAAUAACUAUAUAAUGCCUGCGGCUGUAAGUCAAAAUAUCUUCUAGUAGUACUUCCAAGAUGUUUUGCUUCAAAAGUUAUUAUGAUAUGUAUGCUAUGUCGUUACUUAUAUUUGUGGAUUUGCACUAUAACAAAUCAAAGUGAGUCAAUAAUGAUUACUAAUUAGUUGUGAUUAAUUGAUUCCUUUGAUCUGGAUAUAUAACAAAUAAUAGAAAAAAAAUACCCAAGAGAAAAAUUCACGGACUUUCAAAUAAGACAAAUAUUUUUGUUCGUCAAAAAAUUAAUUAAGAAAUAACAUAAAUGAUUACAUAUGUCUUCCACUUAUUGUUGACUGUUGUAAGCUAAGCCACUGUCAUUAUUUUCGUUCUCCUUAAGGACAAAUAGGCCACUGGCCGGUACCCUAUGAUCAUCGGCAUCAUAGCCCAAACUUCAAGUCCACUAUGAUCAAUUCUUAGCUCUCUGAUGAAGGGAGGCGAACAAGAAUCUGAUGAGCAAUGGUGCUGGUAGGAAUCAUAGUUGUUGAAUGAAAUGUUGCGCAGCCACGACAUGAAAAAUGGACCUUUCUGCACCAAGUCAAUACACAGGGAAAUCGAUUAAUUAAGAUCAUUAUUAUGUUUUAGUUGACGUAAGAAUAGUUUUAUGCAUUUGAAUCUGUGAAAAAUCAUAUGGAUCAUUUGGCAAUUUUCUCCUAACCUGGAUAAAGAAUCCUCCAGAUAGCAUGGAGGUCAUAAGAACAAUGGAUGCCAAUAUUUUUGCUUUCUUUACAUCCAUGAACGCCACUCCUAUGAUAAGUCCAAGGCCCUGCAUUAUUCAAGUUGAAAAAGCCAAGCAAGACUAUUACAAUUUCACCCAAAAAAAAAAAAAAUUGAUUGGUAUCUGACAUUUUAUGGCACCUGAGCAGCUAGAAUACAGAGGAAAACAGUGAGCAUAUUCUGAGAAAACGCGAUGUAACUUGGCCUCAAGCCAACCAUAACACAGAUAAUCACAAGAACGAUUAUUGGCAGUAUGAGAUCUAAAGGAAGAUCACUAAUGUUUCUCGCUGAAAAAUAUGCACUGAGUUUGUACAUGUCCACAGAUCUUUCCUCAGCUAGCAUCGCUCUUUCUUGUGGGAAUGUGAAAGUAGCGGUAAAUAAAGGAAAGAAGCCCCAAAAUACUGAAAUGAAGAACAACAGCGAUGCCUGCAUACAAAUUGAACGAGAAUGGUAAGUACUUGCAAAUGUUGUCACAAAUAGCAAAGGGAAAAAUGAUUAGGAGUUUAUUCAAGUGAUGGUUGCCUUUCAGGAAUCAGAGUGGCACCAAAGUAAGGCAAUGGGAUGUGGCUGUGGAUAUAACUUGUGUUACACAGUAACCAGCUUAAGUACUCGUGGCAUCCCUUUGAGGCCUCUUCUCAAGAGAAUUGAGAAUUCUCCACAACAAGUUGCUUGAUUUUCCCUUGAAUUUAACUUGCACUGCAUCUCAAGCUUACCCUCUGGUGGUACAUUUUAUUCAAGAGUUUUCUUUUCUACAAUUCUGAGGCUUUUUCUUUGUAGGUAUCGCAAGAUACUGAUAUAGAAAUCUAUGGUUAUAUUAGCAUUAAAUACUAUUUUAAUUUUAUUAUUUUUGUAAAAAUUGACAUUGUUAUUGUCUUUUUAACCUCGUGGACAUCAAUGUAGAGAUCCUUUCUAGUCAAGUCUUCGACUUGUUGUUAUUCACAUUUCCAUUUGCAAGAUCAAUGGGAAACUCUGCUGGGUUCAUGGCUAUACAAGGAGAACAUCCAAUUGAAGAGAAAUAGUCCACUGCUUCUGAAGCUUUUCUGGAGUAUAAUGAACUCCUUCAUCCAAUAAUAUAUUUUUAAAAUUACGUUCAAACAAAAAAUUCUAAACACAAUUUAUUUGUUCAAAAGUAAUUUAGUAAGGAUAUAUUGAGUAUUUAGAGAGUAAAUGCUCGUUUAUUUCCUAUAAUUUAAGUUAAGUGUACGUUCAGUUUUUAUAUUUAAGAAAAAACUCAAGACCCUCUUACUAUUAAAUAUGUUACAAUCUUACAUUAUUUUUUUUUAAUUUCAUUUUACAAUAAUGUCCUUGUAACAAUAUUUUUUUGGGAUACUAAUGAAAUGGAAAAUGAUAAUUUAUCAAAUUAACGAUAAAAGUAACAUAAAAAUUUACACAAAAUAUUUUUAUAUUAUUUUACUUUUAGGAUUAAUUUGGUAAAUUAAUUUUUAAUAAAAUAAUUAUCAGUAAGAUAGUUGUAAAGAUAUUAAACUUUACUUUAAGUUGGCUAAUACUUAAUUUAUUUAUAAAUAAUUAUUAGCAAGACUGUUGCACUGGUACAAAAGGUACUAGUUCUUUUACACUAAUAUUUAUUGGUUAAUUUGCUAAUUACUUUGCUACAGAUAAAUUAAUUAAUGUCAAAAAUAUUGUUGCAAAGGGUGUUAUUGAAAAAGGAAAAAAAUAAGGGUAAAAAGUAAUAUAUUUAACUAUAGGAGUAUUUUGAGGUAAGUUUUUAAAAUAUAAAGACUAAAUAAAUACUUAAGUCAAAAAUUAAAGACUAAACCAUUUGUAAAUCACACGUCGUAAUAUUUGUUGAGUUCGGAAUCACAUUUAUCGGAUUUGCAAUUUUUUUUAUUCAUUAAACCAUUUGUUCAUUGUGUUUUAGCAAAAUAAAAUUAAAAAAUAAAUUUUGUUAUGGUGAUGGAGGAAUUCUACUAUAGUUAUGAGGCAUCAUGUAUGUAGUCAUAUAAUAAAUAAAUGAUAUUAAUGAUGAAGAAGGGUGCCAUAGUAAUUCCAAUAAAAGAGGGCAGGUGAGAGAGAGAAAAAAAAUUAAAAAGACAAAUAUUUAUUUUUAGUUUUAACGGACAUAUUUCUAAAAAUAAAUGAAACUAACUAAGAAAAAGGGGUUGGUGAGAUAAAUUAAGAGGGUCAAUUUUUAUCACUCACGGGUUUAUUAUUAUUAUUUUGUGUUGGGCUUUUAUUAGAUUUCCUUUAUAUAUUAGGCUUUGAGCUUUAAUUGCAAUUUAUUUUUGUUGGGCUUAUACACUUGCUUGUGUGUCUAUGUGCGUAUGUAUGUGUGUCUAUGUAUAUUCCUCUAACUGUUACAUUUUAUACUAUUACGUAGGUCUUACAUUCACAGAGACUAAUAAACAAAGAGUAACUAUUAAAAGAAAAAGGGUUCGAUUAUAAUUUGUAUAACCUAGCUGAAAUAUAAACUUCACAUUAUUUUUUUAAAAAAUAAACUUAAAUUUCGACCCCUAACAGAAUUAAUUAUCAUUCCAUUUGAUGAGAAAAUAACAUAGCACCAUUUUAAUUCAUUUAAACUGAUAUACCACGUCUCUAGCUUGGUUCGCCAUACACGUUUUCACUGUAUAGACUGAUUCAACCUAUUUUGUCAAUUAUUUUAUUUUUCAAAAAGAAGGCCCAAGUGUCCAGCAAUUUAGUAUUUCACUGAAAACGAAUGGGUAGACGAAGUGUGUGAAAUGUGAAUUGAUUAAAUUUUAUGAAUUUAUGUGUACGCCGUAUAUAUUCAAAUACUAGCUACUUCCUAACACUGAGUAAAAAUUACAAGAGGUCAACCUACCAUUUAAUCAUAAGCGCAUGCAUUAAUUUGACCGGUAUUAACAAAUUAAUUAGAGAGAGAGGUAUAUUAACCUAAUCUUGGCAAUUUGAAUAAUAAAUUAAUGACUCGGCUUAUGGAAACAGCCACUGAUCACCAAGUCUGUAAGCACUUAACUUUAAUCAAAAGUUUACCACUGCAGCAUUUUGUAUUGUUUUCUCAAGUGAUGAAAUAAUUAGAGCAUCUCCAAAAUACUCUUUAAAUAAAAUUUUAUUACUUAUUUGAAAAGUCACAUCAGUAUUUAGGAUUCCAACAGACACUCCAAUUAAGAUUUUUCAAAUAAAAAAAUGAUUUUUUCUCUUCAAUUUUGUAUAGUUGCUUUCUCCCUCUUCAAUUUAUAUUUUAUUACUUUUUAUUAGGGAGAGAGAGAGAGAGAAAAGUGUUUUAAUUACUAUUUAUUUUUCUUUUGAAAAAAUAUUUAUUUGAUUAAAAUAAUAUUAACUUAUUACUAUUUGAAGAAUAACAUAUUUUUUUCACUCUCCUUUUUACCACAUAGAUAAACAAAUAGAUAUUUGAAGAGUAAAAUUAAUAGAGUCUUUUAGGGGUAAAAACUCGUUUAGUCCCUAUAUUUUGAAGUUAGUGUCCGUUUAGUCCCUAUAUUUUUAAAAAUACCUCAAACCAUCCCUACCAUUAAAUUAUUGACACUCUUGCCAUUAUCUUUUGUUCCUUUUAACUUAUUUUUACACUAUUACCCUAUUAUAAUAAUUUUUUUAGACAUUAUUAAAAAGAAAAAAAAUAAAUUACCAGUUUAACACCAAAAUAAAAAAAAAAUAUAUAUAUAUAUAUUAAUUUUUGUGGAACACUCUCUUGAGUUAAAAUAUUAAUUUUUCUAAAAAAAUUGAUAAUGUAAUUUUUUACAAUAUUAAUUUUUUAGACAUACGUGAGCUUCCACAAAAAUUAAUAUAUACCUUUUUUUGUUUUUAUUUUAUUUUUGAGUUUAAUUUGAUAAUCUAAUUUUUUAUUAAUAUCCAAAAAAGAAACAUUAUUGUAAGAGUGUAAUAUUGUAAAAGCAAGUUAAAAAGAAUAAAAAAUAAUGGCAUGAGUGUCAAUAUUUAGCAGCAUGGACGUUUUGAGAUAUUUUUAAAAAUAUAUGGACUAAAUGAACACUAACCUCAUAAUAUAGGGACUAAACAAGUUUUUACCCGUCUUUUAGAGAUACUCAUAGCUUCUUUCUCCAAAAAUUUGCGGCGAAAAUUGACAUCUCCAAGGCCAUGCAAGUCUAGACGAUGGCAGUUUUUGUAGAAAUAUUUUUGCUCAUGUCCUCUAAGAUGGAAACCACAAUGCUCAAUGAUGCAGGCCCAUAAACUAUACUUGGUUUGUAGAUAAGCUGCGAACCACUUUGGAGCUAGCAUUUUAUUCGUUUGAAACUUCUCUUUUGCUAUGUCCGCAUUUUAUAAAAUCAAAAUUUGUAUGCAUUGGUAAUUAGCACCUAGAUGGCUUUCUUACAUUUCUAUUAAGAUCGCAAUGAAAAUAGUAUAUUGUCAGCUCCAUCCACUUUUAUUGGCCUUCAUUUUCCCAUUUUUUUUUCUUUUCCAUUUGGGAUCAAUGACCAAAAUAAAUUCGAAAUUUCAUCAAAUUCAUUUGCAGGACGCAGGGCUCUACUUGCUGACUACAACGCAACUGGUCGUGGAGGAUAGAAUUGAUGAACUGAGCAAGCUGCAAGCUGCAAGCUGCAAGCUCAUCAACCAUAUAUCAUAUAUGUUGCAUACGGCUAUGGAUUAUAAUAAAUUGUAUAUAUAUGUUUGUAUGUUCUAUGCUAAUGUAAGUCAAAAUAUCUUCUAGU
This 6004-nucleotide long non-coding RNA is filed under the name Citrus sinensis (sweet orange). Its description in RNAcentral is "long non-coding RNA (CSIN_LNC001478)". The record is from RNAcentral. Lineage: Eukaryota; Viridiplantae; Streptophyta; Magnoliopsida; Sapindales; Rutaceae.